ACAAAAACAUGUCUGUAUGAAGGUGUAUACAGUUUAGCCUGCUCACUGAUAAAUUUAAAGAGCCGCAGUAUAUUGACUGUGCGAAGGUAGCAUAAUAGAUUGUCUCUUAAUUGGAGGCUUGAAUGAACGGUUGGACAAAGUAUCUUCUGUUUCUUAAGUAAAUAUUGAAUUUGACUUUUAAGUGAAAAGGCUUAAAUAAACCAAAAAGACGAUAAGACCCUAUAAAUCUUUACAAAAAAUAUAUUUUAAAUUUUAAUUUAGAUGUUUUUAAAAUAUAAAGUAUAUUUUUGUUAUGCUGGGGCGGCAUAGAUAUAUUAUUCAACUGUUUAUAAAUUUAAGUCAAUUAAUUAUUGUUUUAAAUUUUUGAUCCUUUAUUAAGAUUAAAAGAAUAAGAUACUUUAGGGAUAACAGCGUUAUUUUUUCUGAGAGUUCUUAUCGAAGAAAAAGUUUGCGACCUCGAUGUUGAAUUAAAGUUUCUCUGUGGUGCAGCAGUUACAGAAGAGAGUCUGUUCGACUCUUAAUCCUUUACAUGAUUUGAGUUCAGACCGGCGUGAGCCAGGAGGUUUUCUAUCAUAA
RNAcentral lists this ribosomal RNA (576 nucleotides) under Tomopagurus merimaculosus. Its description in RNAcentral is "partial 16S ribosomal RNA". It matches the Rfam family "Bacterial large subunit ribosomal RNA", at positions 1807 to 2646 of the family's 2925-position model. Lineage: Eukaryota; Metazoa; Arthropoda; Malacostraca; Decapoda; Paguridae. The record is from RNAcentral.